This 5337-nucleotide unclassified non-coding RNA is filed under the name Hevea brasiliensis (rubber tree). The record is from RNAcentral. Lineage: Eukaryota; Viridiplantae; Streptophyta; Magnoliopsida; Malpighiales; Euphorbiaceae.
UUAAAUUUAACAUAUUUUAAUUACAAAAACUUCAAAACAAUUAAUAUAUAUUUUUAACAUCUAAAAUGAUACAUUUUCAAAAAGCAUUUUUUACCUGUCAACCUCAACUCUAAACAGGCCUUUAUGACAGCAAUAACAAUAAUAACUAUUUAUUUAUCCAUAGUUGAAUUUACACAUUGAUGAUCCACAACCGUAAUUGAAGGAAUCUGUGAUGUUAUUAUUACUAUUAUUAUUUUUUAAUUAUGUCAAUAAUGCUAUGUGAAAAUUGGAUGAUUCCUAUAUUGCCGAAUGCUGCUAGCAUGAAGACUAAUUUAUUAUACAAAAAGAAUAGGAUCCACAAUCAUGUGGAUCAAAGAAUAUUGAUUAUAAAAUUUGGCAUCUUAUGGAGCAUUCAAUUUCCAAAUGCAAAUUUUAUUAUCGUACCCUGUAGCCCUGUUCUGCUGCUCUAAGAUAUACCAAUCCUCGUUUUAUUCUCUGCAAAAGAAAUCAGAAAGAAAAAAUUAUGAGCAUCCCUUAAGUCAUUUGACACAUUAACUAGCAUUUCAGCCUCUCUCAAGGAUAUCCAUCAUAAGGAAAAGGUUGGAAAAACCUAGCUUUAAAAUGGUGCAUGGAAGCAAAACUUCAUGAACUUCCACUAGGCAAGGAACUUUUUGCAGGCAGUCAUCACCAAAGCAUUUCAUUGCUCUAUUCGUCUUACCAUUGGGUUAUUUCCAGGAAUAGGUAAAAUAUGGAUUUAUAUGACUUACAUGCAUCAAAUGAGUUACAUCAUCUAACAAGUACCCAACUAUCUGGAAGACCAACAAAAUGUGUUAAGGUCUAUAUACCUCUUCUGUAUCCCUUAUGCGCAGGAGCUCCAAUUUUUCAUAAGGCUUCCUAUCUGAUAAUGUUACAAGCUGAAGCCAAGCAAAAAUCAAAAUCAGCAAGUACAGCAAACCAUGUUUAACUCCCACAUAUUCAUUGUGAAUAAUAAUCAAUACCCAGAAACUGAAGCGCUCAGGAUCCAAUGGUGUGGGCAUCAUCGCUUCUACAUUUAAUAGUUUCUCAAGUCUUCUUCGAUCUGUAUGAAUUGUCAUAAAUUGAAACUAAACAAUGCAAAACACAAAACACAAAUAUAGAAUAGGAAAAAUCACCCUUCUUCUUUGUGCAAUGGCAAACUGUAAGUGCACAAAUGAUUUAAUGCUGCUAAUGCAGAUAUGAAAAUCAUCUAACAAGCAACUAAGAUUUGGUAUAAAAUUUUGAGUCAUGAUAAAGUUGCACUUAACACAGAAUUAAUGGAGAAGGAAACACCCUCCAUCUAAAUCUAAUUCAACAGUUCAGUAUAAAUACUAGAAACUGACUCAAAUUCUUCUAUCUAUAACACCCAUCAAUUUUGUAAGUUUUAUAUGAAAUAAAUAGAGCUUUCACAAGUCGAGGCAUUCAUCGCAAAUGUUUACCUUGUCUUGCAGCCUCUUUUGCCCUCCUUAACCACGACUCAGCAUAUUCCGCUGCAUUAUUUGUAAUAUCCUGCAACUGAAACCAUCCAGAAAUCAAUCCAUAAAGGGAUCAACAUGUAACAAAAGGUGAGCAUUUCUCACAACAACAGAAUUUGAACUUGGGAAUUUCAACUUGGAGAUCUUAGGUUUGAAUCCUAUUUGAACAAGAGGCACAUGGGUUUUAUGGGAUUGAGGCAUUGGCGGAUCCAACUGAUAAAACAAGGGUUCGAUUGACCCUUCUUUUUGUUCAAAGAAUCUUUAUACAUAUAUAUACUUGUUUAGAUUAACCCCUCAUAAACUUAAUUAUUGAACCUUGAUAAAAGUUAGAACUAAAUAAGAAUAAAUAGUAUUUUUCAACUGAUAUAAGAUAUUUAAAUGUUAAUAUUAAUUGAUGAAUGACUUCAGUUAUAUACAGAGAAAUAUAUUUUAUAACAUUAAUAAUACAAUUCUUGAUAAUUUUUAGUAUACUAGACCUAAUUGAAUUCAAUUGAAAGAUAUUGGUAUUAUGUUUUUUUACUUUUUUUUAUAAUAUUUUCUAUGUGUUGACUCCAAAAAAAAUUUUUCUAGAUCCGCCACUGGAUUGAGGAGAGCCAUCCUCCUUGUGUUGCCCAAGGAUAAAUGUUAUCCAAUGCACAACUCAACUCAAAUGGAGCCCCAAUCCCAAACUAAUCAAGGGGACCCCAGAUGAGCCACACACACAGUUGAUAUCCUACAUCUUCCAGUAAUGAUACAAACCAUUUGGUGCUAUGAGAUCUCAUUGAUACAACAACUAAAAGACAGUAGGCAAGUUUCUUUAAAUUUUAAAAAAAUAUGUAUAUAUGCCAAAAGACCAGAAAUAUAUUAAAUCCCAGGACCCCUGAAUGGAUCAAAACACGGUAACAAAAAGUUUAACCACUUUUUUCUCUUUCUUUAAACUUUUCAACAUUGCUUUGACACCAAAACAGAGGAAUUAAAAUAAAAUAAAAUAAAAUUAAUAAUGUUUAUGUGUUCAGAGCAUAAUCCUAAUCAGUUAGCGCAGGAUAUAAUAUGUUUUCAGUUUCCUUUCUUUAAAAGUAGUAAGUUGCAUUUCAUUUAUGUUGCUUAAAUUGUCGGGUUGUUUCAUUAGUGGGUCAUAGUUACCAAGUUAGUUUUUGGGUUCAGUGUAUUAUAUUUAUUAAUUUAUGAUGAAUGGAAAGAGGGAAGCCAGUAUUUUGAAAGGUCAUCAUAGAGAUCUCUCCAACAAGCUCUAAUUUCUAAAAAUCCACAAUAGGUCUCAAAAGAAGGAAAACUAAGCAAAAAUAAUUCUAAGCUCAUCCCCUCUUUGAUUUUCAGUUGGAUCACCCCAUAACUAGAUCAGUUUCCCGAAACCUCAACAAAUAAUAACAAUGAUAAAGAGAAGUCCAAGAAGAAGAAGAAUAUAAAAGCAGCAAGCAUACUUCUGCUCUCCUUUUCGGUGGAUCAUCCUGAACCCAGUCAACCUCUGCAACACGAUACCCAUCUUGAUCCCAAGAUCGAAGGAUGCGAAAUCUACGGCGGCUUUCAACCUGCAAGAAAUAGUAUUUUAUUAAAUAUGAAUAAACACAAAGCACAUACUGAGAUAAAAAUGGGAAACUAGAUGAACACCACCCACCCCCACCCAAAAAUAAAAAACCCCUCUUCUCCCUCAAGGGCUGAUACAUGGAUCCUAGAAGCUCAAAAUUUUGCAAUAUCUAAGCAUCAUUUUCUAGAUAUAGUAGUCAUUAAUAACAAAUAUUGCGCAUCUUAUGCAGAGUGCUAAUCAAUUAUGAAAUCCAGUCUCUUUUAGAAGACAAGCAAAACACAAGUAUUUCUGCAAGGAAAAGAAAAUUGGUGUUUUUACCUCUAGAUAGAAUCGUCCAUCUGGAAGUGGCUCACACCUACACAGUAGCAACUAGUUGACUCAGAACAAAGCCAUGUUUAAAUGAAGGUGUUCAGACUUCAGAGACGGGGAAAAAGUAUGACAACUAGAUAUUUAAAAUUUGAUAACUACGUGAAAUAUAAACCAAAAACCUACUCUGUUAUCUCCACUUCACAAGCAAAAUCGACAAUAGAUCCUGCAGUGGAAUCAAGGACAACCUAAAUAAUCAUAUAAACCAAAGCAAUGUUGAGUAUUUUUGGUCCAUGCAAUGGUCAUUAAGCAGAAAAGAGGUGAAGAAAAGGACCACUGUCAAUAAUCUACCAUUCCCAUCCGAUGAUUUCCUUCCAUUAUCCUUCUCACCUGUCAUGAAAAAUAGAAAGCAGACUAACAUUAUCAAUGCAAUGAAAGAAUAAAAAUUGGAAAUUCAUUUCUCAGGUUUAAGUUAGUUUUAAAAGGAAAAGAAAAAAAGAAAGACAUGACACAUCUACCUAGAAUACCACCAACUAAUUUGGAGUUUGACAUAAGAUUCUACAUGGAAUUAGGACACAGGUUUUAGACUUAAAAAACAGAUUUCUUUUCUCGUUUUUUUUUUCCAAGUUCCAAAUUCUCUGCUGACUGUAAUAAGAUUCAGGAAAAAGGUGAUGCCUACAGAGUUCAGCAAUACCUGAAACUUGGUACAAAUUUAGAGCCGCUAGACCCAAUUCACAGAACCCACAAAGCACUGCAAUACCUAAAUAUGUCUUACAGUAUGCCAACAAAAUGAGUACACACACCAUGUUUUCUUUGCUUAGCUAAGUAGGAGAUUCAGGCAUAAAAUUCAAUCACAAAAAGCUCCAGCAUGGACUUCUUCAGACAAUACAUCUUGAUCUUGCUUAUCUGGCUAAGUCCAUUGCAUUAUCAAAAAUGGUGUCAAGCUUUUGGUAAUGGCAAGAUUUAUGUACAACAAUAUUUCUGAAACUUCCCCUCAAGCUAAUACAGAUGGGAAUAAAAAUCAUCCUUCCCACAAACACGUUUUAGAAAACCAAAACCAUAUGGAUAUAGGCUUCUCACUACAAACAAGUAAUUGCAUUGCAAUGCACACAAGCAUAGCUUGCUAAAGUCUCACAGCUGCCAGGAAAUCAGGCUAUGUACUGGAUAAAAGUAACGCCAGCUGCCAAAUUGCAGCCAGGUACAAGACACACUAGCACUAUAAUUGAACCAUAAAAGUGCUUAAUGCCACUCCUGUAAUUCUUGUUAACCCUUUGGGUCAAAAGAACUACUCGAUAAAAAUAAAAUUUUCAAACUUGCUGAGCAACAUAGUUUGUUCUCUUUAAAAUAUUUACUUUUUGCAUAUCUGUCUCCAAAACAUCAUUUUAAGUGGAGUAGAAACAGGUUGGGGAAAAAGCUUAUAUUAUGAGAGUGUAUGUUAAUCCGGAUGAGCUUAAAUCAGUAGGACACACAAAGAAAUGAUGAUUGAGUGUGAUAGGAGGUCUUUCAGAUAUUAAUAAUUAACUAAAAUUUUAAAACCAAAAAAUUGUUGUCGCACUUCUCUAUGAGACCCAGAUAUCUUGCAUUAUAACAUCCUUGCUGAUAUAAAAACAGAUUUGUGCAUGUAUUGCUAGAAAAGGUAUUAAAAUCGACCUUGAAAGCAUUUAACUGAAAACAGCAGUAUUGAAUUUUACAGAUUCAAAUCAUGCUAAAUGCCUCUUUCAGUUAAACUAGCCCUUGCAUUUUAGGAGUCCUAAGAUUUCAUGUCAAAGCAUUGAUAAUCCAUCAUAUAGAUGCACACGGCAUGUGAAGAAAAAAAAUGCUUGAUAACAUUAUAUUAAGUAACAGCCAACCAUUUAGAUUAUCAAUGGAAUGUUCAACUCACCAUUAGCCUGUAUCGAGGUUCAAAUAUGUGGAGUGGAAACUUCUGACAUGGUAUAACAACAUCCAUGACAAAAAGGGGGAUCAGAUCAACCCCAAAAUUUGUCAAACUCUCAUGCUCAGACUUCCUAUCAGCGUACUCCUCUGGGAAGUUCUUUUCUA